GGAUGUAAGAGCAAUCUGGCUGUGACAUCUGUCACUGCAUUGAUCAUCAGGGUUGAUUCAGCUGAUCUAGCUGACUAGAUGGGUGUCCUCUUCCUCCCUCACCACUCAUAUGCAUCUUCUCCUGUUGGAGAAGAUGGCCUUCCCUGGAUAGAGAUGAUGAAAUGUAUACCAGUAGCUGCCCUCCCUUGCUAGAACUUCCAAACAAGCUCUCAGGGUCCAAGAUCACAGAUAUGUGUUGACUAUUAUUUCUCUAACUUUCUAUAUGUAUAUAUGUUUGCCAUUUUUU
Molecule: non-coding RNA, 286 nt
Organism: Erinaceus europaeus (western European hedgehog)
Lineage: Eukaryota; Metazoa; Chordata; Mammalia; Eulipotyphla; Erinaceidae
Source: Rfam